This 100-nucleotide non-coding RNA is filed under the name Anaerotruncus sp. G3(2012). RNAcentral's name for it is "azaaromatic riboswitch aptamer (yjdF RNA)". It matches the Rfam family "azaaromatic riboswitch aptamer (yjdF RNA)". Lineage: Bacteria; Bacillati; Bacillota; Clostridia; Eubacteriales; Oscillospiraceae. RNAcentral also lists the same sequence under 1 other name. The record is from Rfam by way of RNAcentral.
AAACGCGGAAAUAAAAACACAGCCCGGUCGGUAGUCCGGGCGCGGCCUGUGGGCCGUCAGUAACCUGCCUCCUUGGUUGUCCGUUUUCCGUGGGAAACAU